UUACGGCCAUAUCAGGUUGAAACACCGGUUCUUGUACAAUUACCGAAGUUAAGCAAUGUCAAGACUGGUUACUGCCUUAAUGGGUGACUGCUUGGGAAUACCAGGUGCUGUAAG
Molecule: non-coding RNA, 114 nt
Organism: Acanthosepion pharaonis
Lineage: Eukaryota; Metazoa; Mollusca; Cephalopoda; Sepiida; Sepiidae
Source: the annotation of a GenBank genome assembly